GAGCAUAACAGUCGUUCACACCUUCAAACUUUCUGAGUUCUGGAGGACAUAAUCUACAGCUAAAAGUCUGUUGUGAGACACUCUGUGAACUGCGCGUCCAGGCCAAGGGAAGAUGAGCCGACACCAUCUGCCGAUCUAAUGCAUGUAAAACACAAAGACAAAAGGAUGUUUAACACAUGAAAUCCACCCAAAUUCAUCUGGAGAAAUAAUUCCUAUUGCCUGAAGAAUCGAUAGAGAGCAGGUUGUUAAUUGAUGAAAUGUGCCUCUGUAGAAGCCAUGUGUCUGAUUUCCACCCAAUUCCAGUUGAAGAACUGCACUACCCAUAAUCCUCGAGCAAGACCACCAAUCAGAGAAGUCACUGUUACCAUGGAAAUGACAAUCAAGAUCACAACAGCUUACUUGUUUCAUAUGGAAACGGAUGGAUGCCUUAUUGGAGAAGAUGGAGAGAAAGACAGCAGCUCGGUUCCAAAACCUUGAGCGCUGCUUCACUGCCCGCUGCCUUCUAAGGGAGCAUCCUAACUGACAUGGAGCCUAAUAAGUGAAUGAUUUAGAACACUACACUGGCACAUAAAUGG
Long non-coding RNA from Sinocyclocheilus rhinocerous, 575 nucleotides. RefSeq lists it as uncharacterized. The record is from RefSeq and is a predicted model, not a curated record. The transcript has 3 exons. Lineage: Eukaryota; Metazoa; Chordata; Actinopteri; Cypriniformes; Cyprinidae.